GCCUUCGUAGUGUAGCAGUCAGCAUAGUCAACUCGUAUUCCAGAGGUUCGUGGUUCGAGUCCCGACUAAGGCG
This 73-nucleotide transfer RNA is filed under the name Stegodyphus mimosarum. It matches the Rfam family "tRNA". From Rfam's summary of the family: Transfer RNA (tRNA) molecules are approximately 80 nucleotides in length. Lineage: Eukaryota; Metazoa; Arthropoda; Arachnida; Araneae; Eresidae. The record is from Rfam by way of RNAcentral.